GUUUCGGCUAAGCCAUGCGAGUCUAGGGAUCGCAAGAUACCGGCAUACUGCUCAGUAACACGCGGAUAAUCUGCCCCCAGGUGAAGAAUACCCUCGGGAAACUGAGGCUAAUACUUCAUAAUCACUAUAUGCUGGAAUGCUUUGGUGAUGAAAGAAUUUCGCCUGAGGAUGAGUCUGCGGCCUAUCAGGUCGUAUGUGGUGUAAUGGACCACAUAGCCUAAGACGGGUACGGGCCUUGAAAGAGGGAGCCCGGAGAUGGACUCUGAGACAUUAGUCCAGGCCCUACGGGGCGCAGCAGGCGCGAAAACUGUGCAAUGCGCGAAAGCGCGACACGGGAAGCCUGAGUGCCUUAACACAGUUAAGGCUUUUCUCAAGCCUAAAAAGCUUGAGGAA
RNAcentral lists this ribosomal RNA (393 nucleotides) under uncultured archaeon. RNAcentral's name for it is "bacterial SSU rRNA". It matches the Rfam family "Archaeal small subunit ribosomal RNA", at positions 37 to 435 of the family's 1478-position model. The record is from RNAcentral.